This 622-nucleotide ribosomal RNA is filed under the name Trechisibus antarcticus. RNAcentral describes it as "partial 16S ribosomal RNA". The stretch from base 379 to 537 matches the Rfam family "Bacterial large subunit ribosomal RNA", at positions 2473 to 2632 of the family's 2925-position model. The record is from RNAcentral. Lineage: Eukaryota; Metazoa; Arthropoda; Insecta; Coleoptera; Carabidae.
UUGAUUUAUAUAUAAAGUCUGACCUGCCCACUGAAAAUUUUAAAUGGCUGCAGUAAUUUGACUGUACAAAGGUAGCAUAAUCAUUAGUUUUUUAAUUAAAAGCUCGUAUGAAAGGUUGGACGAAGUAAAAUCUGUCUCUUUUUAAUAUAAUUAGAAUUUAAUUUUUAAGUAAAAAAGCUUAAAUUUUUAUAAAAGACGAGAAGACCCUAUAGAGUUUAAUAAUUUUAAUAAAAUAUUUAAUUAAGAUUUAUUAAUUUUAUUUAAUUAAAAUUAUUUUAUUGGGGUAAUAAAAAGAUUAAAAAAAUUCUUUUUUUUUAAUACAUUAAUUUAUGAAUAUAUGAUCCAUUUGUAGUGAUUAAAAGAUUAAAUUACCUUAGGGAUAACAGCGUAAUUUUUUUAAAGAGUUCUUAUCGAUAAAAAAGUUUGCGACCUCGAUGUUGGAUUAAAGAUUAAUUUAGGUGUAGAAGUUUAAAUUUUUGGUCUGUUCGACCAUUAAAUCUUUACAUGAUCUGAGUUCAAACCGGUGUAAGCCAGGUUGGUUUCUAUCUUUAUUAAUUUUUUAUAUUUUAGUACGAAAGGACCAAAUAUAAAAUAUAUAAAUAUUUUUAUUUUGAAUAUUAUU